CAAUAGCGUAUAUUAAAGUUGUUGCGGUUAAAAAGCUCGUAGUUGGAUUUCUGUUGGGAACGACCGGUCCGCCCACUGGGUGUGUAUCUGGCUUGUUCUCGGCAUCUUCUUGGUGAACGUUGCUGCACUUGACUGUGUGGAGCGCUACCCAGGACUUUUACUUUGAGGAAAUUAGAGUGUUUCAAGCAGGCAUAUGCCUUGAAUACAUUAGCAUGGAAUAAUAAGAUAGGACCUCGGUUCUAUUUUGUUGGUUUCUAGAGCUGAGGUAAUGAUUAAUAGGGAUAGUUGGGGGCAUUCGUAUUUAACUGUCAGAGGUGAAAUUCUUGGAUUUGUUAAAGACGGACUUCUGCGAAAGCAUUUGCCAAGGAUGUUUUCAUUGA
This 380-nucleotide ribosomal RNA is filed under the name uncultured eukaryote. Its description in RNAcentral is "partial 18S ribosomal RNA". It matches the Rfam family "Eukaryotic small subunit ribosomal RNA", at positions 592 to 976 of the family's 1831-position model. The record is from RNAcentral.